CUGACUCGGAGCCAGCCGCGGCGGUCAUACGGGUGAUCCAAGCGGUAUCCUGAAUUAGUGGGCGUAAAGAGUGGCGUAGGUUGCAGAGUAAGUUGAUAGUGAAAGCGUCCGGCUCAACCGGAUAUCCAUUAUCAAAACUGCUCAGCUAGAGGACGAGAGAGGUUAUUGGAAUUCCUAGUGUAGGGGUAAAAUCCGUUGAUAUUAGGAGGAACACCGAUGGCGUAGGCAGAUAACUGGCUCGUUCCUGACACUAAGGCACGAAAGCGUGGGUAGCAAACAGGAUUAGAUACCCUUGUAGUC
RNAcentral lists this ribosomal RNA (300 nucleotides) under uncultured Haloterrigena sp. RNAcentral describes it as "bacterial SSU rRNA". It matches the Rfam family "Bacterial small subunit ribosomal RNA", at positions 497 to 795 of the family's 1533-position model. The record is from RNAcentral. Lineage: Archaea; Methanobacteriati; Methanobacteriota; Halobacteria; Halobacteriales; Natrialbaceae.